GCAAGAGGGAGCAAGCGUUGUCAGGAGUUACUGGGCGUAACGGGCGAGGAGGCGGUCUGCGGCGCCGGGGCUGAAAGCGCCCCGCUUAACGGGGCGAGGCGUGCCGAUACGCGCAGGCUCGAGGCGGGCAGAGGGUGGUGGAAUUCCGGGUGGAGCAGUGAAAUGCGUAGAGACCCGGAGGAACGCCCGUGGGGAAGCCGGCCACCUGGGCUCGGCCUGACGCUGCGGCGAGACCGCGUGGGGAGCAAACCGG
RNAcentral lists this ribosomal RNA (253 nucleotides) under uncultured bacterium. RNAcentral's name for it is "partial 16S ribosomal RNA". It matches the Rfam family "Bacterial small subunit ribosomal RNA", at positions 520 to 776 of the family's 1533-position model. The record is from RNAcentral.